GCCCAAACUCAUGAUAGAAGGAUAAAAACUAAAUUACAGUUCCAAUUCAAACAAUGGCCGAGCACAAUCGAUACAAACCUCAGAUAACGAUUCAGAUUCAAAGAUCAGCGGAAACUAAACAGUUGCUAAUUCAUACUCGCAGCAUUUGCGUCUUCAUUUAGUGAUACUCGGAAAUAGCAAACAAAAAUUCAAAAAGAGAAUAUACAUUGUUGGCAAGUAAAACCCAAUGAAAUCUAAAAUUCGACAUGUUUCCGUCUCGCUACUCGCCAGCCCCUGCAAAUACCCAACUGAUGAUUUAACCAUGUAGCGUUGUCCUUACCUAGGACACAAUAUCUAAGCCCACAUCAAAGCCGGAAUCCACCGGUGACUUUACACAAAUAAGCUCCAGCAAGAUUAUUUCAUAGUUAAUUACAAUAUCUAUCAAUUUCAUACGAGUAUGCAGUCUCUAAGAUGGGCAAGUAAUACAACUUUAUGAACCAAGUCAUCAUAAAACCGAUUGAACCUCCGCCGCUGCCUCCAAAGAUUCCGGCAGAGAACAGCUGGAUUGAACAUCCCAGGUCGUCUCUCUCGCCAACCACAAAUCUUUCGCUAGGCCGCCAGCGACGCCAUGCCGCCACCUACCUCGCCUCUCUGACUGCUCAACUCUCUCUCCCUCUGAGAUACCUCGCUCGACUCCCUCUCAGACCAGUAACUGCAGAUUCGCAAAUCUGAUUCCGACUUCCCCAACACACCUCCUUAUCUCGCAAACUGGCAACGGCCGCCGAAAUGCCACGCCGCCGCCGCGUGCCGUCCCCUCUUCCCGAGUCGAGCAGCAGAAAAGAGAGGGAGCCACCCCUUCCUUCUUUGGCGCAAUGAGUACAACAACAAACUCCCACCAUCGCCACCUCCUCUGACCUUCGGUGACCAAGUCACGGCCGUCGCCUUCGGCCCAGGGCUCCUCGCCUCCUCUCUUUUCCCGAACAAGCUUCCUCUCUCAAACGUUGUGAUCGUUGCCGCCUAUUGAAUGGCGGCACCACCCAGAUCCCCAAAUCGCAGCCGCCGCUGCCCUCUCUCUCUCUCAAUCUCCUCCAUCGCUCAAAUCUCCCAUCAACACCACAUCUCCUCCUUCGCCUAUCCGGCGAAGGGCGUCCCCCAGGCUACGCCUGAAAAACCCCAGGCACCAACCACCGAUGACCCUCCUCAGAACUUGAAUCACGCCGGCAAAACAGCAGGGAUGUCGUUCUCUGCUCGACGGAAGAAUGAGACGAGAGAAAGAGAAUCAGACGAACCCAAAUAGAAGAGGCAGAACCCUAAAAAAUUUCGAACCAGACUGGAGGAAAGACACCUUUGUUUUUUAUUCAGCACCAACCUAAAGAAAAUAAAUGUGAAAAAUCCCUCUCAAGAGAAUAUCAACGAUUAUCUUUCAGCCUGUAGAUAAUGCGAAUUAGAAAAAAUCCCGUAUUUUUACAGGCUGGUAGCACCAUUUUCGAGAAGUGCAGGCUGGUAAACAAUGCCAACUCCACGCAGGUUAAUGGGUUCAACUUGGCUUAAAUAGCUCCAUCUCGGCCCAAGUAUCUACAGGCUGGAGCAAUUCUUAUUUCAACAAAUGAGCCAAGUUGGAAUAAUUAAAAAACACUCCUAUUUCAAAAUUCCAAGCUGGGAGCCAAGCUCACAUAUCAGCUACGGCCACCGACGACGCCACGCCACCGUCGCGCGCCUCGUCUCUAACUCCACCCUGGAGAACUGCUGACCUCUCUCUCCCUCAUUCUUCCCUUCCCCCUCACUCAGAAGAAACGGACAAAAUUCGCCCAGCCAGCCACCACCCCAGGCGAAAGGCGUCGCCUCCGACCGCCGUUUGCCCAAGGGCCCAGGGCCGCGCCUGAAAAGCCUGAUGCACCAUCGCCGCCUUCGGCCCAUCUCCUCCUCUCUUCUCCUUCACAGGCGCGCGCCGCCGGGAGGCCCCCUCUCCUCUAAUCAAGCAAUGGCAGAAAAAGAGAGCCACCCCCUCCAAUUUCGACCUUCGGCGAAAUCGCCGCCUUAUCUCACCCUAUCUUUCGUCUCCCAUUCGAUAUCAGUCACCAUCGCUGUCUAUUGAGCGACGACGCCACCCUGAACCUUAGAUCCCUAAUCUACGCGACCACUGCGACGCCGCCUCUCCGUUGGCAGCAGCCACUACACGACCACCACUCAUCCAACGACCAUAGCCCCUAAAGCCGCGCCACUCGCUUUGAAACCAACGACCAGAGACUGAACGGCGCCGGCGAGCGGCUGGCUGCCGUGAUUUGUCCAACGGAGGAAGCGAGACGGGAGAGAGAAAUAUCCCCUUCCUUCUUAUUUUGAACCAG
This 2324-nucleotide long non-coding RNA is filed under the name Salvia miltiorrhiza (redroot sage). RNAcentral's name for it is "long non-coding RNA (SMIL_LNC000317)". The record is from RNAcentral. Lineage: Eukaryota; Viridiplantae; Streptophyta; Magnoliopsida; Lamiales; Lamiaceae.